This is a long non-coding RNA of Salvia miltiorrhiza (redroot sage), 288 nucleotides long. RefSeq lists it as uncharacterized. The record is from RefSeq and is a predicted model, not a curated record. Lineage: Eukaryota; Viridiplantae; Streptophyta; Magnoliopsida; Lamiales; Lamiaceae. The transcript is spliced from 2 exons.
UCUUCAACUGGUGAAGCUGCUAACCAACUUACUAAAGCAUCCAAUACUCAAAGAUCUACAUCAUCCAUGGUUUGUGGUGGAUUAAAUGAGCCGUACGUUGAGCUGAAGAGGCUUGUGAAUUCACAAGAAAUGUUGUACCAUAUGGCUAGCUAGUUGCAUAUUUAAUAUGUUUAGUAUUUUUGUAAGGCAUAAUAGUAUAGAUAAAGCAGUUGUUGAAUUUUGGCUAUAUUCAAAUCUUGUAUGAAUUCUUUUUUAUGAUAAUAAUAUAAAAUUAAAUAUUUUGGAUGA